This 2481-nucleotide unclassified non-coding RNA is filed under the name Gigantopelta aegis. Its description in RNAcentral is "nADH-ubiquinone oxidoreductase 49 kDa subunit-like, transcript variant X2". Lineage: Eukaryota; Metazoa; Mollusca; Gastropoda; Neomphalida; Peltospiridae. The record is from RNAcentral.
AGAAAGAAAGAAAAGAAAAUGGCCGCUCUGGGGACAAUUUUGAGGCGAGCGGGUCCCAGUGUCGGCAGCAUUCUGCAGCGAUCUGUUCUGAAGAAUGCGACACCGUUGUAUUUCGCCAGAGGGGCUAAAGUCUGGUUGCCCGAUAAAGAUUAUUUUGACCAGAUAAAAAGUCCAGUUAUGUAUCCAGAUGAAACUACAGACUGGGAGUUGCCUCCCAUUAAUGAGAAGGCGUUUAUCCGAGAGAAGCACGUCCAGAAUCUGGUGAUUAAUUUUGGACCCCAGCAUCCAGCGGCUCAUGGCGUACUGCGUCUUGUGCUCACUCUUGAUGGAGAGACUGUUGUCCGAGCCGAUCCACACAUUGGCUUGCUGCAUCGGGCGACAGAGAAACUUAUAGAGUACAAAACAUAUCUACAGGCAUUGCCAUACUUCGAUCGUCUCGACUACGUGUCUAUGAUGUGUAAUGAGCAGUGUUACUCGAUAGCCGUGGAGAAGUUACUUAACAUCGAGGUACCCGAGAGAGCCAAGUGGAUUAGAACGUUGUUUGGUGAGAUAACGCGCUUGAUGAAUCACCUCAUGUCAAUCGCGUGUCACGCUCUUGACGUGGGCGCCAUGACACCCUUCUUCUGGCUGUUUGAGGAGCGAGAGAAGCUGAUGGAAUUCUAUGAACGUGUUUCGGGAGCAAGAAUGCAUGCUGCCUAUGUAAGGCCAGGGGGCGUGUCUCAGGACUUGCCUCUUGGCCUUCUCGAUGACAUGUACGACUUCCUGCUGCAGUUUCCGCAGCGUAUUGACGAAGUGGAUGACCUUCUAACGCCCAACCGGAUCUGGAAGGCGAGGACGGUUGACAUCGGGAUCAUCUCCGCAGAAGAUGCUCUUAACUAUGGCUUCAGUGGCGUCAUGGUGCGAGGCUCGGGAGUCAAGUGGGACAUACGUAAAGUGGAACCGUAUGAUAGGUACGACCAAGUGGAGUUUGAUGUUCCCAUUGGGCGCAAAGGAGACUGCUACGACAGAUAUCUGGUGCGAAUGGAGGAAAUGCGACAGAGUGUCAGGAUCAUGUUGCAGUGUUUGAACAAGAUGCCGGCAGGAGAAAUCAAGGUGGAUGACAACAAGGUGGCGCCACCUGCCAGAGCAGACAUGAAGACGUCCAUGGAGUCCCUGAUUCACCACUUCAAGCUGUACUCUGAGGGUUACCAGGUUCCCCCGGAUCAACGUAUACGGCCAUAGAGGCCACCAAGGGAGAGUUUGGAGUAUACCUCGUAUCGGAUGGAACCAACAAACCAUACAGAUGUAAAAUAAAGGCCCCUGGAUUUGCUCACUUGGCGGGCUUGGAAAAGUUGGCGAAGAAGCACAUGCUGGCCGAUGUAGUUGCGAUUAUUGGAACAUUGGAUAUUGUCUUUGGUGAAGUUGAUCGCUAAGUCUGUACCAGAAACUGACAUGUAUUUAUUAGAAAGAACAUUUUUUUCACCAGCAGUUCAAAAGUGCUCUGUUCAGCAAAUACUGACAAACUAUAUAAACAUUUGUAAUUCUUCUGACAAAUACACCAGAAAGAUUUCCUUCAUGGAAAUUAUGAUGGUUACAGAUCUUUUAAAAAACCCAAAACAAACUGUUAUAGGUUGUCCAAGUGUAGAUGUAUUUCAAAUUAUAACUCUGCUUCUUCAAAGAUAAUUAUGUUCAGCAUUUCCAGAACAUAUUGUAAUUAAUCUCUCUAUUGGUUGUAAUGAAGUCGGAACUUGUUUGUCAGUGCAGACCAGUGCUGAUGUAGCUGAUGAACCCUGCCAUUGCUGGUUUUGUUUUGAUGAGCCAGACUUCUGAAAUGCCUGGACUCCUGGUCACUAAACUGUAGACUUUGGCGUUUGACAAUUAAUUUUGACUGUGUUAGGCUUUACGAGAUGGUAAUAAAGAUAUUAUUACACGUGUGCUUUGUAUGAAUUUUAUUAACUCAGUUAUGUUAAACCAUGUGGAUAAUAACACUUGUUAUUACACAUGUGUUUCAUAUGAUGUUUAUUAACUCUGUUAUGUUGAACCAUGUGAAUAAUAACACUUGUUAUUACACGUGUGUUUCAUAUGUUUAUUAAAUCAGAUAUGUUGAACCAUGUGAAUAAUACUUGUUAUUACACGUGUGUUUCGUAUGUUUAUUAAUUCAGUUAUUUUGAACCAUGUGGAUAAUAACACUUGUUAUUACACAUGUGUUUCAUAUGAUGUUUAUUAACUGGACUCCACUUUAUUCUGGUCACAUGAUCUCUGAAACAGACUGGAAACGUAGCCAUCCACCUUUGGCUAGAUGGUUUGAUUGUUGGUUUGUGUACUGUGAAUAUACAACACAACUUGUGUCUAUUGACAUGACAGAGGAAAAUAAUAUUGUGUAUAUACUGUAGAUUAAAACGUGUGUUUAUUAAACCCAUAGUGUAAAAUCCUGUGUAAUAUGGUAAAAACGUGUGUUUAUUGAACUCACAAAAAUAAAUACAGUGUAUAUUGAGUAAAACA